UCACUGUGGUAGUCUUGACCACACAUUAUCAUCAUUUUACAGGAUUAAGUGCUUAGUCCACACAAAAACCCUCCCAGUGCAAGCAUAUAAACUCAACCACUGAGAAAUCUGUUCUGUUUGAAGCAGUGCAAAAGACUUUUAAGGUAAAAAUACAUUUAACAUCUCCAGUCCUUUUCUUUUUGCUGGUU
RNAcentral lists this long non-coding RNA (188 nucleotides) under Callithrix jacchus (white-tufted-ear marmoset). RNAcentral's name for it is "lncRNA (ENSCJAG00000061599.2)". The record is from RNAcentral. Lineage: Eukaryota; Metazoa; Chordata; Mammalia; Primates; Cebidae.